GGGGAUGUAGCUUAGUGGUAGAGUGCAUGCUUUGCACGUCUGAGGGUUUGGGUUCAAUCCCCAGCAUCUCCA
Non-coding RNA from Protopterus annectens (West African lungfish), 72 nucleotides. The record is from the annotation of a RefSeq genome assembly. NCBI's taxonomy places the organism in Eukaryota, Metazoa, Chordata, Ceratodontiformes, Protopteridae.